UCACACUCACACAUGGAAACUUAAGAGCUGGCAUACAUUCAUCUCACAUUCAUCACAAGAUACAUAAGAAAAAGAAAAACAAUACAGGAUAUCAGAGACCUUGGAGCAUGUCACCAAGGGAGAGAUCAUAUGGGAAAUGGAAAGAGGUGAACAGAGAGAUGUUUAUAGAUCCCGCACCUGACUGCUCUCAGUGCCAGCCAGUGAAAAUUUGCCUCUGGCAGCCAUUCUUCCCCAGUGAUAGUUUCAAACGCCUCAAGACGAGCAACCACACUGACUGUCAGAUUCCGUUGAGUGGCCGACAUCAGCAGCACAACAAAAGAUCUUUUAUUCUGAACAGAAAAAAAUGUGCAACAUUAUUGAGCUGGAGUUGAUACAUAGGUUGGAAGGGGAGGGCUGGAAUCCAAACUUGUUCCCAAAUAACAGAGUUGCUCUACAACUCAUCCAUGGUUUUCUGACAUCCUGAUAUCCUCAAAUAACAACAAUAAAGCUUCUGUCUCCUUUCAA
Molecule: long non-coding RNA, 504 nt
Organism: Anolis sagrei ordinatus
Lineage: Eukaryota; Metazoa; Chordata; Lepidosauria; Squamata; Anolidae
Source: RefSeq, a predicted model, not a curated record